AGUCGAACGCGCAGCAUUCUGUAGCAAUACAGGGUGUGGGCGCGUGGCGAACGGGUGCGUAACACGUGGAUAACCUUCCUUGAGGUGGGGAAACAACCCAGUGAAAAUUGGGCUAAUACCGCAUAACAUCGCGAUGGCACAUGCUGAUGCGAUCAAAGGCGCAAGUCGCCACAAGAGGGAUCCGCGGCCGAUUAGCUAGUUGGCGAGGUAAUGGCUCACCAAGGCAAUGAUCGGUAGCCGGGAUGAGAGGUUGGCCGGCCACACUGGAACUGAGACACGGUCCAGGAUCCUACGGGAGGCAGCAGUGGGGAAACCUUGCACAAUGGACGAAAGUCUGAUGCAGCAACGCCGCGUGGGGGAUGAAGCUUCUCGGAGUGUAAACCCCUUUCGACCCGGAAGAAUGCCCGCAAGGGUAUGACGGUACGGGUAUAAGAAGCCCCGGCUAACUACGUGCCAGCAGCCGCGGUAAUACGUAGGGGGCCAGCGUUGCUCGGAAACUACUGGGCGUAAAGGGUCCGUAGGCGGUGUAGCAAGUCGAUAGUGAAAUCUCUGCGCUUAACGCAGAAGCUGCUAACGAAACUGCUGUGCUAGAGUGUGAGAGAGGCGAGUGGAAACUACGGGUGUAGCGGUGAAAUGCGUAGAUAUCCGUAGGAACAUCCGAGGCGAAGGCGGCUCGCUGGAUCACAACUGACGCUGAGGGACGAAAGCUAGGGGAGCAAACAGGAUUAGAUACCCUGGUAGUCCUAGCCCUAAACCAUCA
Molecule: ribosomal RNA, 760 nt
Filed under: uncultured bacterium
Lineage: Bacteria
Description: bacterial SSU rRNA
Rfam family: Bacterial small subunit ribosomal RNA
Source: RNAcentral